RNAcentral lists this ribosomal RNA (253 nucleotides) under uncultured bacterium. RNAcentral describes it as "partial 16S ribosomal RNA". It matches the Rfam family "Bacterial small subunit ribosomal RNA", at positions 524 to 776 of the family's 1533-position model. The record is from RNAcentral.
UACGUAGGUGGCAAGCGUUAUCCGGAAUUAUUGGGCGUAAAGAGGGAGCAGGCGGUCGAGGAGGUCUGUGGUGAAAACCUGGUGCUCAACAUCAGAGGUGCCAUAGAAACCAAUCGACUAGAGUUCAGAAGAGGAUCGUGGAAUUCCAUGUGUAGCGGUGAAAUGCGUAGAUAUAUGGAGGAACACCAGUGGCGAAGGCGACGAUCUGGGCUAGAACUGACGCUCAGUCCCGAAAGCGUGGGGAGCAAAUAGG